GAUGAACGCUGGCGGCGUGCCUAAUACAUGCAAGUCGAGCGAACGGACGAGAAGCUUGCUUUUCUGAUGUUAGCGGCGGACGGGUGAGUAACACGUGGAUAACCUACCUAUAAGACUGGGAUAACUUCGGGAAACCGGAGCUAAUACCGGAUAAUAUUUUGAACCGCAUGGUUCAAAAGUGAAAGACGGUCUUGCUGUCACUUAUAGAUGGAUCCGCGCUGCAUUAGCUAGUUGGUAAGGUAACGGCUUACCAAGGGAACGAUGCAUAGCCGACCUGAGAGGGUGAUCGGCCACACUGGAACUGAGACACGGUCCAGACUCCUACGGGAGGCAGCAGUAGGGAAUCUUCCGCAAUGGGCGAAAGCCUGACGGAGCAACGCCGCGUGAGUGAUGAAGGUCUUCGGAUCGUAAAACUCUGUUAUUAGGGAAGAACAUAUGUGUAAGUAACUGUGCACAUCUUGACGGUACCUAAUCAGAAAGCCACGGCUAACUACGUG
This 497-nucleotide ribosomal RNA is filed under the name uncultured bacterium. RNAcentral describes it as "partial 16S ribosomal RNA". It matches the Rfam family "Bacterial small subunit ribosomal RNA", at positions 28 to 507 of the family's 1533-position model. The record is from RNAcentral.